AGAGCGAACGCUGGCGGCAGGCCUAACACAUGCAAGUCGAGCGCCCCCGCAAGGGGAGCGGCAGACGGGAGAGUAACACGUGGGAACGUACCCUUUGGUUCGGAACAACACAGGGAAACUUGUGCUAAUACCGGAUAAGCCCUUACGGGGAAAGAUUUAUUGCCAAAGGAUCGGCCCGCGUCUGAUUAGCUUGUUGGUGAGGUAACGGCUCACCAAGGCUACGAUCAGUAGCUGGUCUGAGAGGAUGAUCAGCCUCACUGGGACUGAGACACGGCCCAGACUCCUACGGGAGGCAGCAGUGGGGAAUAUUGGACAAUGGGCGCAAGCCUGAUCCAGCCAUGCCGCGUGGAUGAUGAAGGCCCUAGGGUUGUAAAGUCCUUUCGACGGGGAAGAUAAUGACGGUACCCGUAGAAGAAGCCCGGCUAACUUCGCGCCAGCAGCCGC
This 444-nucleotide ribosomal RNA is filed under the name uncultured bacterium. Its description in RNAcentral is "SSU rRNA". It matches the Rfam family "Bacterial small subunit ribosomal RNA", at positions 26 to 518 of the family's 1533-position model. The record is from RNAcentral.